AGUUUUGCACCUUAUUUUAUACAUUACAAUCAAAGGAGGAGGAAAAAGAGGGUUACAUGAAAUUCAUUAGUGAUAGAUUAAGGAGGUGGGAUUAAGAAAA
Long non-coding RNA from Myotis brandtii (Brandt's bat), 100 nucleotides. RefSeq lists it as uncharacterized. The record is from RefSeq and is a predicted model, not a curated record. NCBI's taxonomy places the organism in Eukaryota, Metazoa, Chordata, Mammalia, Chiroptera, Vespertilionidae. The transcript has 3 exons.